This 77-nucleotide transfer RNA is filed under the name Capsulimonadaceae bacterium. Its description in RNAcentral is "tRNA-Met". It matches the Rfam family "tRNA". Rfam says of the family: Transfer RNA (tRNA) molecules are approximately 80 nucleotides in length. The record is from RNAcentral. Lineage: Bacteria; Bacillati; Armatimonadota; Armatimonadia; Capsulimonadales; Capsulimonadaceae. RNAcentral also lists the same sequence under 1 other name.
UGCGGGGUGGAGCAGUCCGGUAGCUCGUCGGGCUCAUAACCCGAAGGUCGUUGGUUCAAGUCCAACCCCCGCUCCCA